AGUGCAGGCGGUUUUUUAAGUCUGAUGUGAAAGCCUUCGGCUUAACCGAAGAAAUGCAUUGGAAACUGGGAAACUUGAGUGCAGAAGAGGAGAGUGGAACUCCAUGUGUAGCGGUGAAAUGCGUAGAUAUAUGGAAGAACACCAGUGGCGAAGGCGGCUCUCUGGUCUGUAACUGACGCUGAGGCUCGAAAGCGUGGUAGCAAACA
This 206-nucleotide ribosomal RNA is filed under the name uncultured bacterium. Its description in RNAcentral is "partial 16S ribosomal RNA". It matches the Rfam family "Bacterial small subunit ribosomal RNA", at positions 568 to 774 of the family's 1533-position model. The record is from RNAcentral.